GAUGAACGCUGGCGGCGUGCCUAAUACAUGCAAGUCGAACGCGGAUCGUAAGAUCCGAGUGGCGAACGGGUGAGUAAGACGUAAGUAACCUGGCCUAAACAGGGGGAUAACUGAUGGAAACGUCAGCUAAUACCGCAUAGGUAUAGAGACCGCAUGGAAGCUAUAUUAAAGGGUGCCAAGGCACCGGUAUAGGAUGGACUUACGGCGCAUUAGCUAGUUGGAGGGUAAAGGCCCACCAAGGCGACGAUGCGUAGCCGACUGAGAGGUGACCGGCCACACUGGGACUGAGACACGGCCCAGACUCUACGGGAGGCAGCAGUAGGGAAUUUUCGGCAAUGGGCGAAAGCCUGACCGAGCAACGCCGCGUGAAGGAAGAAGGAAUUCGUUCUGUAAACUUCUGUUAUAAAGGAAGAACGGCACAUAUAGGGAAUGAUAUGUGAGUGACGGUACUUUAUGAGGAAGCCACGGCUAACUACGUGCCAGCAGCCGCGGUAAUACGUAGGUGGCGAGCGUUAUCCGGAAUUAUUGGGCUGUAAAGAGGGAGCAGGCGGCAGCAAGGGUCUGUGGUGAAAGAAUGGGGCUCAACCCCACAGAGCCAUAGAAACCGGGCAGCUAGAGUGCAGGAGAGGAUCGUGGAAUUCCAUGUGUAGCGGUGAAAUGCGUAGAUAUAUGGAGGAACACCAGUGGCGAAGGCGACGGUCUGGACUGCAACCGACGCUCAGUCCCGAAAGCGUGGGGAGCAAAUAGGAUUAGAUACCCUAGUAGUCCACGCCGUAAACGAUGAGUACUAAGUGUUGGGAGUCAGAUCCCAGUGCUGCAGUUAACGCAGUAAGUACUCCGCCUGAGUAGUACGUUCGCAAGAAUGAAACUCAAAGGAAUUGACGGGGGCCCGCACAAGCGGUGGAGCAUGUGGUUUAAUUCGAAGCAACGCGAAGAACCUUACCAGGUCUUGACAUCCACGGAAGUUUUCAGAGAUGAGAAUGUGCCUUCGGGAACCGUGAGACAGGUGCUGCAUGGCUGUCGUCAGCUCGUGUUGUGAAAUGUUGGGUUAAGUCCCGCAACGAGCGCAACCCUUAUCCUUUGUUGCCAGCGGUCCGGCCGGGGACUCAAAGGAGACUGCCAGUGAUAAACUGGAGGAAGGUGGGGAUGACGUCAAGUCAUCAUGGCCCUUACGACCAGGGCUACACACGUGCUACAAUGGCGCAUACAAAGAGAAGCGACCUCGCGAGAGCAAGCGGACCUCAUAAAGUGCGUCGUAGUCCGGAUUGGAGUCUGCAACUCGACUCCAUGAAGUCGGAAUCGCUAGUAAUCGUGGAUCAGAAUGCCACGGUGAAUACGUUCCCGGGCCUUGUACACACCGCCCGUCACACCAUGGGAGUGGGUUGCAAAAGAAGUAGGUAGCUUAACCUUCGGGAGGGCGCUUACCACUUUGUGAUUCAUGACUGGGGUG
Molecule: ribosomal RNA, 1450 nt
Filed under: uncultured bacterium
Lineage: Bacteria
Description: bacterial SSU rRNA
Rfam family: Bacterial small subunit ribosomal RNA
Source: RNAcentral